UAAAAUAAUUAAGGGCACACAAAGGAUGCCUAGGUAGUAAGAGCCGAUGAAGGACGUGGUAAGCUGCGAUAAGCCUAGAUAAGUUGCAAUCGAACGUAAGAGUCUAGGAUUUCCGAAUGGAGCAAUCUAUUAAGAUGGAGUCUUAAUACGAAAGAGGGAACCGCGUGAACUGAAACAUCUAAGUAACGCGAGGAAAAGAAAGUAAAAACGAUACCCAAAGUAGCGGCGAGCGAAAUGGGUCAAGCCUAAACCUUAAAUAUGUCAAGGAUACAGCCGUUGUAUUUAAGGGGUUGUGGGACAGAGUGAUGAAGAACUGUAAGAUAUUCAAUAUAGUGUAUUGAUGAAUUAGAAUUGUCUGGAAAGGUGAACCGCAGAAGGUGAAAGUCCUGUAUAAGUAAAUCCUUACACAUAUAACUUUGCUCCCAAGUAACAUGGAACACGAGGAAUUCUGUGUGAAUCUGUGAGGACCAUAUCUCAUAAGGCUAAAUACUCUUACUAACCGAUAGCGCAUAGUACCGUGAGGGAAAGGUGAAAAGAACCCCUGGAGGGGAGUGAAAUAGAACCUGAAAUUGUGUGCUUACAAGCGGUCAGAGCCCAUUUGGGUGAUGGCGUGCCUUUUGGAGAAUGAUCCUGCGAGUUACGUUAAACGGCGAGGUUAAGUAUAACGGAGCCGAAGGGAAACCAAGUCUUAAUAGGGCGAUUUAGUCGUUUGGCGUAGACGCGAAACCUGGUGAUCUAAACCUGUCCAGGAUGAAGCUGUGGUAAGACACAGUGGAGGUCCUAACCCACCGCCGUUGAAAAGUUGGGGGAUGAGGUAGGUUUAGGGGUGAAAAGCCAAUCGAACCAGGAGAUAGCUCGUUCUCUCCGAAAUGCAUCUAGGUGCAGCCUUGAGUGUUCAAUUAUGGGGGUAGAGCACUGAAUGAUCUAGGGGGCAUAUUGCUUACUGAAAUCAAUCAAACUCCGAAUACCAUAAUUUAUAGCUCAGGAGUGAGACUAUGGGAGUUAACUUCCAUUGUCAAAAGGGAAACAACCCAGACCACCAGCUAAGGUCCCUAAUUAUAACUAAGUGGGAAAGGAGGUGGAGAUUCACAAACAACUAGGAGGUUGGCUUAGAAGCAGCCAUACCUUUAAAGAGUGCGUAAUAGCUCACUAGUCGAGAGUCUCUGCGCCGACAAUGUAACGGGGCUAAGUUAUAAACCGAAGCUGUGGAAUCCGUAAGGAUUGGUAGGAGAGCGUUCUGUAGGCCGUUGAAGAAGAAGGGUAACCAACUUUGGAGGUAUCAGAAGUGAGAAUGCAGGAAUAAGUAGCGAGAAAGGGGGCGAGAAUCCCCCUCGCCGGAAGACCAAGGUUUUCAGGGUAAAGCUUGUCUUCCCUGAGUAAGCCGGGACCUAAGCCCAGGCUAUAAUGCGUAGGCGAAUGGAAAACAGAUUAAUAUUUCUGUGCCAGUCAUUUAUUGUGAUGGAGGGACGCAGAAGGGUAUGCGCGCGGACGAACGGAAGUGUCCGUAGAAGUAUGUAGGGUGACUUAGUAGGUAAAUCCAUUAAGUUAUAUCUGAGGUAUGAUAUACAGUCGUAAGAUGAAUGUGCAAAUCCCACGCUGCCAAGAAAAGCUUCUAACGUUAAUAUAUGACUGCCCGUACUGUAAACCGACACAGGUGGUCAGGAUGAGAAAUCUAAGGCGGACAGGCUAACUCUCGUUAAGGAACUCUGCAAAAUAACCUCGUAACUUCGGGAGAAGAGGAGCCCUUGAGUGUUAGUAUCCAUGCGAUACAAAGCGCUCGAGGGUCGCAGUGAAGAGGCUCAAGCAACUGUUUAACAAAAACACAGGUCUAUGCUAAGCUGGAAGGCGAUGUAUAUGGGCUGACACCUGCCCAGUGCUGGAAGGUUAAGAGGAGGAGUGAGAGCUCCGAAUUGAAGCCCCAGUGAACGGCGGCCGUAACUAUAACGGUCCUAAGGUAGCGAAAUUCCUUGUCGGGUAA
RNAcentral lists this ribosomal RNA (1978 nucleotides) under human metagenome. Its description in RNAcentral is "bacterial LSU rRNA". It matches the Rfam family "Bacterial large subunit ribosomal RNA", at positions 1 to 1979 of the family's 2925-position model. The record is from RNAcentral.